GAUGAAGAACGUAGCGAAAUGCGAUACGUAGUGUGAAUUGCAGAAUUCAGUGAAUCAUCGAAUCUUUGAACGCACAUUGCGCCCUUUGGUAUUCCAAAGGGCAUGCCUGUUCGAGCGUCAUUUGUACCCUCAAGCUUUGCUUGGUGUUGGGCGUCUUGUCUCCAGUCCGCUGGAGACUCGCCUUAAAGUCAUUGGCAGCCGGCCUACUGGUUUCGGAGCGCAGCACAAGUCGCACUCUUUUCCAGCCAAGGUCAGUGUCCAACAAGCCUUUUUUCAACUUUUGACCUCGGAUCAGGUAGGGAUACCCGCUGAACUUAAGCAUAUCAAUAGCGGAGGA
RNAcentral lists this unclassified non-coding RNA (337 nucleotides) under soil metagenome. RNAcentral describes it as "partial contains 5.8S ribosomal RNA, internal transcribed spacer 2, and large subunit ribosomal RNA". The stretch from base 1 to 120 matches the Rfam family "5.8S ribosomal RNA", at positions 35 to 154 of the family's 154-position model. The record is from RNAcentral.